This 1647-nucleotide long non-coding RNA is filed under the name Homo sapiens (human). RNAcentral's name for it is "HSALNT0316176". Lineage: Eukaryota; Metazoa; Chordata; Mammalia; Primates; Hominidae. The record is from RNAcentral.
CUGGUUCUUUGUGUGCCAGGUACUUUUAAUGUAUUCUAGAACAUUUUAUUAUUAUGUUAUAAGACUCUUGAGUCUUGUUUGAAUCCUGUGGAGAAUGUUAGUAUUUUUGUUUUAGCAGGCAAUUUACCAAUUUCAGUUCAGGCUUAAAGUUCCAACCAGCCUUUUAUGAGUGUUGUUUUAAUGCCGGUUUUGUUGUUAAUGCCUUUGUGGUGCUAUUCAGAUCUGCCCCAUAUGUGUGCCACCUAGUGGCCCUUCUGGGACUUCGGUGGUGGUCUAUUCCUCAGUUCAGUUCUCAGCCUCUUUGGAGUGAUGUUUAGGAUGAAAUCCAUGCAUAGGCAGCUUGGGAAUGAGCCAGGAAAUCAGAAACAACUUUAUGGAGCUGCUUUUCUGAGCUCCUCUCCCCAAUUUUUAGUUUCCCAUGGCUUCCCUUUUUAGUCUUCUAGCCAGAAAGAUGGGUUUUUAUUUACUGUGCUCUGCAAUGUGCUUUCUCUGAUGGCACCCAUGUCCAGAGCCAAGCCAGGUGUAUUUACAUCUCCAUUGGAGAGGAGAUUUCCCCUGCCUCAGAGGUUUUAGUAACUUUGGGCUUUCCACUGCAACCCUGUCACUACCAGAGAUCCUUUGCUUUCUCCCCAAGCCUGAACUAGAGGAUUUUUGAAGUUCUCUCUGUGCCAAUGCCUGUUUCCAAGUUUUCCCUCCAAGUCAAGGAAUCAAAGGGAGAAAAAUGUUAAACUUACCACUGGUUAGGUGGUACUUCUUUUUCUAUAUUGAGGCUUCCACUUAUUUAGCUCUUAUGUAAUUUUUCUCAGCAAUAUUUUGUAUUUUUCUAUGUAUAGGUCUUUACAUAUUUUGUUAAAUUUUUUACUGAGUACUUUAUGUUUUUUGAUAUUAUUGUAAAUUAUAUUUUAAAAUUCAUUUUCCAUACAGAACUAGAAAUGCAAUUGAUUUUUGUGUAUUUACCUUAUAGCUUGUGACCUUGCUAAAUUAAUUUAUUAGUGCUGGUAGCUUUUUUGUAGAUUGCUUAGGGUUGUCCUAUAGAUGAUUAUGUGAUCUACGAAUAAAGACAGUUUUACUUCUUCUGUUCUAAUCUGUAUGCUUUAUAUUUUAUUUUCUUGCCUUGUUGCAUUGGCUAGUAUCACCAGUAAAAUGUUGAAUGAAAGUGGUGAGAAUGCCUUGUUUCUAAUCUUAAGAGGAAAGCAUGCAGUUUUGUUAUGUUAUGUGUGAUGUUAGAGAUAGAUUUUUUUAUAGGUACCCUUUAUUACACUACGGAAGUUUUUUUCUAUUUCUAAUUUGUUGGGAGUAUUUAUUGUUAAUGGAUAUUGAAUUUCAUCAUUUCUUCUGCAUUUGUUGAAUAAUAACGUUUUUCUCCUUUUUGUUGUUACUGUGGUGAAUUGCACUGAUUGAUUUCCAACUUUUAAACCAACCUUAUAUCUUAGGAUAAUCCCACUUGAUCAUGAUGUAGUAUUAUUUUUCUAAGUUGCUGUGUUUUUGGUAAAUAUUUUUACUUCUGUGAUCAUAAGGGAUGUUCUUUAGUUUUCUUGCAUUGUCUUUAUUUGGUUUUAGUAUCAGGAUAAUGCUGACCUCAUUAAAUAAGAUAGUAAGUGUUCCUCCUUUGUUUACUGAAAGAAUUUAGGUAGUACUAGCAUCAUU